RNAcentral lists this ribosomal RNA (497 nucleotides) under uncultured bacterium. RNAcentral describes it as "partial 16S ribosomal RNA". It matches the Rfam family "Bacterial small subunit ribosomal RNA", at positions 28 to 507 of the family's 1533-position model. The record is from RNAcentral.
GAUGAACGCUGGCGGCGUGCCUAAUACAUGCAAGUCGAGCGAACGGACGAGAAGCUUGCUUCUCUGAUGUUAGCGGCGGACGGGUGAGUAACACGUGGAUAACCUACCUAUAAGACUGGGAUAACUUCGGGAAACCGGAGCUAAUACCGGAUGAUAUUUUGAACCGCAUGGUUCAAAAGUGACAGACGGUCUUGCUGUCACUUAUAGAUGGAUCCGCGCUGCAUUAGCUAGUUGGUAAGGUAACGGCUUACCAAGGCAACGAUGCAUAGCCGACCUGAGUGGGUGAUCGGCCACACUGGAACUGAGACACGGUCCAGACUCCUACGGGAGGCAGCAGUAGGGAAUCUUCCGCAAUGGGCGAAAGCCUGACGGAGCAACGCCGCGUGAGUGAUGAAGGUCUUCGGAUCGUAAAACUCUGUUAUUAGGGAAGAACAUAUGUGUAAGUAACUGUGCACAUCUUGACGGUACCUAAUCAGAAAGCCACGGCUAACUACGUG